Lycium barbarum (goji berry) is the source of this 3596-nucleotide long non-coding RNA. RefSeq lists it as uncharacterized. Lineage: Eukaryota; Viridiplantae; Streptophyta; Magnoliopsida; Solanales; Solanaceae. The record is from RefSeq and is a predicted model, not a curated record. The transcript has 2 exons.
CACUCUUAAAAAAAAAUCUUCUAUAUUCACCCUCGCUUCACCUUCUCCGCUUCUGACAUCAGUACUGCUCCUCAAUACAGACCAUUCUCUUAAAUUUCUCUGCUUUGGUUCGAGUUAGUCUUCGGUGGUGUUGUAUCAGUGAGUUACAGUAACUUAUUUUCUUUCUUUUUCUUGGUAGUUAUAUUUUCGUUCUUUGUUGAAGACUCAGAUAUGGAAGCUUCCACUUGCUUCUCUCUGCAAUAAUACCUAUGAUUUCCAUUUUUGCUGUGUAAAAAAAAAAAAAAAAAAAAAACUCAACAGCCCUUUGGCAGUUAUAAACAGUACCAGAGCAAAGUGAGAAUCAUAUAGUAAUAGUAAUAAUUUUAGCGAAAAUUUUGAGGCUGUGAUGAUGAUUUUUUGUUCUUAGUUUGUCUGAGCAAAAUUGAUUAGGGUAUUGGGAUGCCCCGACCCGUAUCGUGGCGGGCCGACCCGGAAACCGGUGUUUGCAGCCAUGGCGGUGAUUUUAGUCUCUCUUUGCAGGACCGUAAGUAUAUUACAGAUCUGAGCCUCAAUGCUUGAUUUUUCUUAAAAAGGGAAAAUUACACUCUAUGUCUACUGAAAAAAAAAAUCCUUUUAUACACUUCUAUACAAGUUUGAUACACUAUGUAUAGUAGUGUAUACUAAAAAUAUGGCUACGCGGGGUUAUAAAUUUUUUAUGUUGGGCUGUAUAUUUGUCAUUGAUGGCGCAAUGGUAACGGGGAUGCAAUACCAGUAAAAUCUUAGAGAAAAUUCUAUAGACAUGGAAGGGUAUGAAAAUUAAUGAGAAAUUUAUUGGUAAUUCAUGAUAUGCCUGAGACAACUCAAUAAUUGUUUAUUGUAUCUCUUUUUUCGUUUUUCUUUUUUCACAGGUGUUCUUCAAGAUUCUCAUCUAUAAGAUACAUUAUUUACUUUGCUUUACUACUUUAGUAGGAAUCCUGAUUCCUAAAGCAUAAUAAGUGAACGUAAAUCAAAUGAUGUGACACUUAUUCUUUGGAUUUGGAUAGUUUUGUGUAUUAAAUCGAAUUAAACUGGAAGUCAAUAAAAGUGUACUAUCAUUUGAAGGGUGUUGAGAAUUAUUUCAAUAGUUAAUGUAAAUUUGAUUUGAUGAAAGUUUAAGCUGUUUGGGAUUUACUAGAAGUCCAUUAGUAUAUUUUGGGCUAUUAAGGCUUCGACUCUGCCUAUUAUUAUUCUGCUGCACAUCAAAGCUUAGUAACAAGUGAAGAGAGUAGGAAUUGAGCUUUUGUAAAUAGCAAAUUUUAUCAAUAUUCCAUUAGCGAUACUGUUUGGGCCAUUCUUGAUUGUUGUUUGGUUCUUGGGUUUAUGUUGCUUUGAUAUUAAUGUGGACCUUUGCAAAAUUUUGGACAGUUGGUGAGCUACUUUCGCCUAAUUUGCUGCUGUGUAUCGACCCUUUUGGGAGUCAAAAAGCUUGCUGAUUUUUAGUACUAUAAUUGCUGUUGUUGUUGAAUUUGUGCUAAAGUUGAACUCUUUAUUACGCUUGGUGCGUAGAAUUCAGUCCAUGUAGUUGCUGCUUUUCACAGAUUAAGUUGUGCCAGUGGCAAGGCUGACUGUUAUGCUAUUACCUUAUUGACUCUAAUUUACAUUUCUCUUCAUCGUUUUGACAAUUUCGCAGAAUAUAAGAUAUAUGAAGCCUACUGUUUGUAUUAAUUACAUCAGUAUAUGAACUGAUAAAAAAUGAUGACAAGAUGAGUUUAGUUUUUCUAGCCAAUAAUUAUGUUGUGGCAAUGGUAUGGCUGACUCUUAUGGUUUUGCCUUAUUUGGCUCUAAUGUAGAUAUCUUUUAACCAUUCUGAGAAUUUUGUAGAUGAGGUAUAUUUAGCCAAUUCUUUGUAGUUCGCUCCAUUUACAGAACCUGCAAAUCGGUUUAGUAAAGGCGUCUGGACAUACAUUAUAUGCAAAUACCGAAAUACUGUUUGUAAAUCAAUGUGUGUGUUACGAGUUUAUCCACUAUUUCAACGAGCCUGAACUAAAAAAUUAUAGCUUUGUGGUCAUUUCAGGAGCUAAAUAGUGACGAGUCACAUUCAAAGGUGAUAAAAGUUCCCAAUAACAGUCCCAAAUAGUUGGCCCAGGGUAAAUUGGUGCUUAUGAAUGAGGUAAAAUUAAAGAGGUAGUGCCUCAUAGAUCCCUGUUUAUCAUGGUAUUUCUAGAACAAAUGAAAAUGAACUAUUUUACAUAUUACUUUCUCCAACAAUUUUGAGUCAACUUUCCUGAGUUAGAGUUAAUAUUCAAGUCAACAUGGUCCCUGUAUGAGACUAAAUUGUGUACUUGAAGGAAACUAUAAUGCUUUGGCAGCAUUAUGCCAAAUGGAGGAAAAAUAGUUGCUGAGAAUUUAGGAGGUGAGUGUUUCUAGGUACACCUGCUUUAUCUCCAAUUAUUUUCCCUCACUGCUGUUGGCCUCAAUAAUACUGAAAGAUUGAGAGACUGUUAAAAUGUUGAUAUAUGACCAUGAUGUAGAGUCCACUUCUUAGAAGGAUCUUUGGAAAAAUACUUAAAAUUCCUUAUUCUAGCAACAGGUCAUUUACCUUUUUGUUGUUCCAAAAAAAGGUCUUGCAAGGAGAACAAAACAAUCCAAAGAAAUUGUAAGUUAGCUUAUGUUUCUUGGCAGUAGUUGCUGCUUUGUUUACUUUGGACAUUGAAAUUUAUGAAGUCUGUGGUUCAGUUUUAUUUUGUAAAGGAGGUGGAAUUAGUAUUGACAAGUAAUUUUCAUUCCCACUUACUCUUCUUGGCAUCCCUGCUUGCUCGGAGUUGACAGUCUGUUGUCUUUUGAAAUAUAUUGUACCCUUGUGACUGUCGAUUUAAGCUAUAACUAGAAAAAGAUUUCUUAGGUCAUUUUGUAAUUAGCAACCUUACUAUCACCCAUAGAGACUUUAUCGUUUUGCUCUGCUACUUUCAGUUUUCCUCUGGAAUUGCUGAUGAGAUGUGCCGCCUUUACCCUCUAUCCAUUUAGUAUAGUUCAUUUUCUAUGUAGCAGCAGCACGGCUAGGUCUUCCUUCAAGGAAAGGAGGGGGUCCAGACGUCACUCACUUUAGCAGAAUAUGCAAUACCAACCUACAUGAUAAGACCAUUGAAUAACAAGCGCUAUUGAGCAACUAUAGAGUUCAACAAAAUGCAGAUGUCCCCUUUGGCACACACAUAUUGUAGAGAAGAACCAUAUUAAAUCCAUACCAUGUUGUAUCAUAAACACUUUUGAUUACGGUCACUCGAUCUCUUACAAUAGAGGAAGUUCAACUCUUAGGAUUGCUAACGAUUUUCAUCACCUGGACGAGAUUUCAAAUUGGAAGGAAGACUUAAUCAGAUGAAUGAAAACGUCACCCUGUUGACUUUGGAAGACAUAUUUAGUUUCUAGAUUUUUAAUCUCUGCAGUUACAUAGGUGAUUGUACUAACUGUCCAGGUUAAAGCUCAGCGAAGUUAUUAUGCUACUCAAAGCCUAUUCACUGUACAUAGGCCAAUAUUAGCUUUCAUUUUCAUAGUUAUUUAUGCUACUCAAAGCCUAUUCACUGUACAUAGGCCAAUAUUAGCUUUCAUUUUCAUAGUUUAAAACUCUUGCAGCUUUGGUUUUA